GUGCCAGCAGCCGCGGUAAUACAGAGGGGGCUAGCGUUAUUCGGAAUUAUUGGGCGUAAAGGGCGCGUAGGCGGCCAUGCGUGUCUUCCGUGAAAUCCCUCGGCUUAACUGAGGACGUGCGGAAGAAACUGCAAGGCUCGAGUCCGGGAGAGGGGGGUGGAAUUCCCAGUGUAGCGGUGAAAUGCGUAGAUAUUGGGAGGAACACCGGUGGCGAAGGCGGCCCCCUGGACCGGUACUGACGCUGAGGCGCGAAAGCGUGGGUAGCAAACGGGAUUAGAUACCCCGGUAGUCC
This 292-nucleotide ribosomal RNA is filed under the name uncultured bacterium. RNAcentral describes it as "partial 16S ribosomal RNA". It matches the Rfam family "Bacterial small subunit ribosomal RNA", at positions 505 to 796 of the family's 1533-position model. The record is from RNAcentral.